UCCCGUAUCUGAAAAUACAAUUGUGGAACUAAGCUAACGAUAAGUAGGGCGGGACACGUGAUAUCCUGUUUGAAGAUGGGGGGACCAUCCUCCAAGGCUAAAUACUCCUGAUUGACCGAUAGUGAACUAGUACUGUGAAGGAAAGGUAAAAAGAACCCCUGCGAGGGGAGUGAAAUAGAACCUGAAACCGUGUACGUACAAGCAGUAGGAGCCCCAUCACUCAAACAUAUUGAGUGGUGAGGAUGAUUCAGCACACAAAAGUAGUUAACCACUUAUGAAUGAAAUGAAUAAGUGGGUCAACCGCUAAAUAAACAGUGUGAUUGAGUGAUGGGGUGACUGCGUACCUUUUGUAUAAUGGGUCAGCGACUUAUAUUUUGUAGCAAGGUUAACCGAAUAGGGGAGCCGUAGGGAAACCGAGUCUUAACUGGGCGUGUAGUUGCAAGGUAUAGACCCGAAACCCGGUGAUCUAGCCAUGGGCAGGUUGAAGGUUGGGUAACACUAACUGGAGGACCGAACCGACUAAUGUUGAAAAAUUAGCGGAUGACUUGUGGCUGGGGGUG
Molecule: ribosomal RNA, 560 nt
Filed under: Pasteurella atlantica
Lineage: Bacteria; Pseudomonadati; Pseudomonadota; Gammaproteobacteria; Pasteurellales; Pasteurellaceae
Also listed under: 1 other name
Description: partial 23S ribosomal RNA
Rfam family: Bacterial large subunit ribosomal RNA
Source: RNAcentral